UAUGAGCCCUGAUAGAAGCGGUAUCCUUUUAUGAAGCGAUUUUUCUUCGCUUCAUAAAAGAUACAAGCGAAUAGCAGGAAUAGCU
Molecule: small nuclear RNA, 85 nt
Filed under: Hucho hucho (huchen)
Lineage: Eukaryota; Metazoa; Chordata; Actinopteri; Salmoniformes; Salmonidae
Description: Flavo-1 RNA (ENSHHUG00000017395.1)
Rfam family: Flavo-1 RNA
Source: Rfam by way of RNAcentral